CUGACCUUAGCUCAGUGGGUAGAGUGGUGGACUGUAGUUGGACUAAUCUAAAUUGGAAAUCCUUAGGUCGUUGGUUUGAUUCCGGCAGGUUGGA
Transfer RNA from Ipomoea nil (Japanese morning glory), 94 nucleotides. It matches the Rfam family "tRNA". From Rfam's summary of the family: Transfer RNA (tRNA) molecules are approximately 80 nucleotides in length. The record is from Rfam. Lineage: Eukaryota; Viridiplantae; Streptophyta; Magnoliopsida; Solanales; Convolvulaceae.